GAUUGAGAAACAACGAACAAAUGUUGGUGUAUUUACCAUGAUCGUAGACUCCACAAUUAAAGAAAGUGGUUAUUGUUCACAGCGGCUGAAGAGAAUUGUGGCUGUUGUCGACCAGUUCCUCGACGCUCAUCUAAACAUAAGAACAAAAUACAAUUCUGUAAUUUGGUUGAAAUUCUUCUUCCCUUGAACUACAUUACUAGUGAAUAAAAUGUUCAAUAAACCUUCUAAUCAAGAAUGGACAAUAUACGUACUUUAAUGAAAUCCUCUGAACGAUGAUCAAGAAUGAACAGCAUACUUUAAUGAAGUCCUCUGAAGAAUGCUCAAGAAUGAACAAUUUACUUUAAUGAAGACCUCUGAACAAUGAUCAAGAAUGGGCAGUGUACUUUAAUGAAGACCUCUGAACAAUGAUCAAGAAUGAACAGUAUACUUUAAUGAAGUCCUCUGAAGAAUGCUCAAGAAUGAACAAUUUACUUUAACGAAGACCUCUGAACAAUGAUCAAGAAUGGACAAUAUACAUUAAUGAACUCUUCUGAAAAAUGAUCAAGAAUGAACAAUACACUUUGAUGAAAUUGAAAAA
This is a long non-coding RNA of Xenia sp. Carnegie-2017, 577 nucleotides long. RefSeq lists it as uncharacterized. The record is from RefSeq and is a predicted model, not a curated record. The transcript has 2 exons. Lineage: Eukaryota; Metazoa; Cnidaria; Anthozoa; Malacalcyonacea; Xeniidae.